GACUCUGAAUAACUUUUAGCUGAUCGCAUGGCCUUGAGCCGGCGACGUAUCUUUCAAGUGUCUGCCUUAUCAACUUUCGACGGUAGGUUACAAGCCUACCGUGGUUAUAACAGGUGACGGGGAAUCAGGGUUCGAUUCCGGAGAGGGAGCCUGAGAAACGGCUGCCACAUCUAAGGAAGGCAGCAGGCGCGCAAAUUACCCACUCCCGGCACGGGGAGGUAGUGACGAAAAAUAACAAUACGGGACUCUACCGAGGCCUCGUAAUUGGAAUGAGUACAAUUUAAAAUCCUUAACGAGGAUCUAUUGGAGGGCAAGUCUGGUGCCAGCAGCCGCGGUAAUUCCAGCUCCAAUAGCGUAUAUUAAAGUUGUUGCGGUUAAAAAGCUCGUAGUUGGAUCUCAGUUCUGGGUGAGCACGGGUCCGCCAUAACAUUGGUGGACUGCUGACUUGCCCGGUGCAAAACCGCCCGGCUUCCCCCACGGUGCUCUUCACCGAGUGUCGUGGGUGGCCGACACGUUUACUUUGAGAAAACCAGAGUGCUUAAAGCAGGCGCAAGACGCCCGAAUGACUGUGCAUGGAAUAAUGGAAGAGGAUCUCGCUUCUGUCUUUGUUGGUUCCUCGGAAGGCGAGAUAAUGAUUAAUAGAAGCAGUCGGGGGCAUUCGUAUUGCGACGUUAGAGGUGAAAUUCUUGGAUCGUCGCACGACGAACUACUGCGAAAGCAUUUGCCAAGAAUGUUUUCGUUAAUCAAGAACGAAAGUUAGAGGUUCGAAGGCGAUCAGAUACCGCCCUAGUUCUGACCAUAAACGAUGCCAACUGGCGAUCUGUCCUAGUUACUCGCACGACUGGACAGGCAGCCUCCGAGAAAUCAAAGUCUUUGGGUUCCGGGGGAAGUAUGGUUGCAAAGCUGAAACUUAAAGGAAUUGACGGAAGGGCACCACCAGGAGUGGAGCCUGCGGCUUAAUUUGACUCAACACGGGAAACCUCACCAGGCCCGGACACCAAAAGGAUUGACAGAUUGAGAGCUCUUUCUUGAUUUGGUGGGUGGUGGUGCAUGGCCGUUCUUAGUUGGUGGAGCGAUUUGUCUGGUUAAUUCCGAUAACGAACGAGACUCUAGCCUGUUAACUAGCCGGUGGAUCAGAAAAUUGAUAUGCGGCGAAGUGGUGUUGCUAUCCUCCGGGGUGCAUCCUGCAUAGUCGCGUCCACCGAGUCUUCUUAGAGGGACAGGCGGCGUUUAGCCGCACGAGACGGAGCAAUAACAGGUCUGUGAUGCCCUCAGAUGU
Molecule: ribosomal RNA, 1279 nt
Filed under: Skogsbergiella sp. DS_3
Lineage: Eukaryota; Metazoa; Arthropoda; Ostracoda; Myodocopida; Cylindroleberididae
Description: SSU rRNA
Rfam family: Eukaryotic small subunit ribosomal RNA
Source: RNAcentral